Molecule: long non-coding RNA, 281 nt
Filed under: Elaeis guineensis (African oil palm)
Lineage: Eukaryota; Viridiplantae; Streptophyta; Magnoliopsida; Arecales; Arecaceae
Description: long non-coding RNA (EGUI_LNC059264)
Source: RNAcentral
GCAUGAUCUGGGUCCUGAUCUGACAAUUGAGAAGCAAGCGGGCAUGAUCUGAGGCUUUGUUUGUGCGAGCGAUGAAGAUCCGAUGGCUAGAAGAUUUUUUGAGGUUUAAUCGGAGUGCAUUUCCGAUCAGGGCUCAGAUUCAGGUCUUUAAAAGGUCUAUGGACAGAUCGAGAGGUAUCGGUGUAGUGUGUUCGGCAGAACCUAAAAUACGCCAGCAGCAGUCGAGAGAGGGAGUUCGACGGCAGACCUUGGAGAGACACUGACAGAGAGCAGAAGUAGAG